GUAACUCUGGACGAAAGUAUGUUUUGAGCUCCUCCAUCACUAUUGCUUUCAUACCAGCAUAGGAGGCGGCUGACUCAUCUUCAGCAAGCAAGAAGCCGAUAGUAUUCUGUCUACCCUUUACAAUGGCUGUUGAACCCACAUUUGAAGUCAUAACUAUCAAGGCGUUCUUAAAUGACACUCUUCUUCCCUGAGAGUCUGUUAGGUGACCAUCUUCAAACAACUGAAGGAGAAUAUUGAAUAUGUCGGGAUGAGCCUUUUCAAUCUCAUCUAGCAGCACUACAGUGAAGGGCUUUCUUCGGAUAGCUUCAGUUAGAGUCCCUCCUUCUCCAUAGCCUACAUAACCAGGAGGCGAUCCAAUUAACUUGCUCACAGUAUGCCGCUCCAUGUAUUCACUCAUAUCCAAUCUUAGCAUGGCAGAUUCAGAUCCAAAAUAAGAUGCUGCCAAAGCUUUAGCCAGUUCAGAUUUUCCAACUCCAGUAGGACCACAGAAGAGCAUUGCCGAAAUUGGUCUAUUUGGGUGCUUGAGGCCAGUUCUGGAUCUCUUAACAGCCCGACAAAUAGAUGUAACAGCCUCAUCCUGACCAACAACCCUUUUCUUAAGCUGCUCAUCAAGACCAACCAAAAGCAUUCUUUCAUCAACUGUAAGCUGCUUAAGGGGAAUGCCUGUCCAGAGUGAAGCAACUGCUGCUAUAUCCUCAGGUCCAACUAAUGGGAGUUCAUGUUGAUCAGAUGUAGAAGACGAAGCUGGCUGCAAAUGAAGUUCACUGUCAUCAUCCAAACGAGACGCAUCAGCAUUUUCAGUCAGCUUGCUAGCCAGGAUCACUUCAUGCAUGGUUUGAACAGCUCUAAUUUCCUGCCAAUAAUCACUAGGUGAUUGUGAAAGUACAGAUAUCUGCUGUUCCUUUCUUCUUUUGUGAGCUUGCAUACGAGAUUUACUACCAG
This 942-nucleotide unclassified non-coding RNA is filed under the name Hevea brasiliensis (rubber tree). Lineage: Eukaryota; Viridiplantae; Streptophyta; Magnoliopsida; Malpighiales; Euphorbiaceae. The record is from RNAcentral.